UGGCGGCGUGCUUAACACAUGCAAGUCGAACGGACUUAUGAUGAAGCCUAGCGAUUAUAAGUUAGUGGCGGACGGUGAGUAACGCGUGGGUAACCUGCCUUAUACAGGGGGAUAACACUUAGAAAUAGGUGCUAAUACCGCAUAAGCGCACAGUAUCGCAUGAUACAGUGUGAAAAACUCCGGUGGUAUAAGAUGGACCCGCGUCUGAUUAGCUAGUUGGUGAGGUAACGGCUCACCAAGGCGACGAUCAGUAGCCGGCCUGAGAGGGUGAACGGCCACAUUGGGACUGAGACACGGCCCAAACUCCUACGGGUGGCAGCAGUGGGGAAUAUUGCACAAUGGGGGAAACCCUGAUGCAGCGACGCCGCGUGAGUGAAGAAGUAUUUCGGUAUGUAAAGCUCUAUCAGCAAGGAAGAAAAUGACGGUACUUGACUAAGAAGCCCCGGCUAACUACGUG
This 457-nucleotide ribosomal RNA is filed under the name uncultured bacterium. RNAcentral's name for it is "bacterial SSU rRNA". It matches the Rfam family "Bacterial small subunit ribosomal RNA", at positions 37 to 507 of the family's 1533-position model. The record is from RNAcentral.